CAGGAUGAACGCUAGCUACAGGCUUAACACAUGCAAGUCGAGGGGCAGCAUUGGAGUAGCAAUACUCAGAUGGCGACCGGCGCACGGGUGAGUAACACGUAUCCAACCUGCCGCUUACUCGGGGAUAGCCUUUCGAAAGAAAGAUUAAUACCCGAUGGUAUAAAGAGUUCGCAUGUUCUCUUUAUUAAAGAAUUUCGGUAAGCGAUGGGGAUGCGUUCCAUUAGAUAGUUGGCGGGGUAACGGCCCACCAAGUCUACGAUGGAUAGGGGUUCUGAGAGGAAGGUCCCCCACAUUGGAACUGAGACACGGUCCAAACUCCUACGGGAGGCAGCAGUGAGGAAUAUUGGUCAAUGGACGAGAGUCUGAACCAGCCAAAGUAGCGUGAAGGAUGACUGCCCUAUGGGUUGUAAACUUCUUUUAUAAGGGAAUAAAGUGAGGGACGUGUCCCUUUUUGUAUGUACCUUAUGAAUAAGGAUCGGCUAACUCCGUGCCAGCCGCGGC
RNAcentral lists this ribosomal RNA (501 nucleotides) under uncultured bacterium. Its description in RNAcentral is "bacterial SSU rRNA". It matches the Rfam family "Bacterial small subunit ribosomal RNA", at positions 25 to 518 of the family's 1533-position model. The record is from RNAcentral.